GUGAUUUGAUUUAGUCCAUAUGUCAAAUUUGUCAAAUUUGCCGCCGCCUGCCUCCUCCCGUACUCGCGCCCUCUCUCCUCUUCACAGUCGCGGCUCCCCACCCUCUUCCUCCCUUCCCCGCGCCGCCAUCUCCACCUCCUCCCCUGCGGCCGCCACCUCUGGCUCCUCCCCUCUCGCCGCUCGUCUUCCUCCUCCCGUAUCCCAUCCCCGUCGCGCCCCCCUCCUCCCCACGAAAUCGCAAGCGGCCCUGCCUUGUGCUAGCCACUCGUGGUCAUGAAGGGCGGCGGAGCCAGGAGCGGUGGAUUGAUGCGGAUGCGACUGCGGCUCACCCUGUAGAGAGGAUCGAGGACGGCAUUGGGUGGUUGCUCUGGAUCCCAUCAUCAGAAGGGAAGGGAAAAGAAGAGGGUGAGCGAGCAAGUCAGGCGGCGGCCAUGGUGCUCGCAGAUCCGCCGGCGCCGUCGUCCGACCUCGGCCUCCGAGUGCUUCUGCUCUGCGGGCGUGACGGUACGGGCUGCCUGCUCCGCGCCCAUGCCAUGGCUUGCUUGGGACACCGUCCUCCCACCUGCUCCAACCCUAAUCCUAGCGUUUCUGCUGCUGGUCAAGGUGCUGCACACUUGCUUGAAAAGUUGAUAACGGAUCUCCACGCUGAUGGGCAAGACACUUUGUGCAUUGGGGAAAAAUGAGGAAGCUUUGGUUCCUUGGGAGCAAGGACAUGAGAUUGCUGUCCGUGACACAAUUGACCUGAAACAAUAGCUGGAAUUGAAAGAAUUAGUUUCUUCUGUCAAAAUUUAUGAGACAUUUGAGUGUGAAGAAGAUGUGGAUGCAUCACCAUGUGAUGCCAAACCAACCAAAGAUUUAUUAUUUUCAAGCUCUUUAAGGAUAUAGGCGAUGAUGCUAAUGUUGAAGAUCAAGGUGGACUUAAAGGAAUACAUGCAACCACCUUUGUAUGGCCAUUGGUUUUGUAGACUUCCAGUGCUUUCAGCAUCCAUCGUUCGCCUCCCGGUUCAUCCUGCGUUAGCCAAGGUCUUCUCCGCCUUGCUCUGAUGUUGUGAAAACUCAUGCAUGGCGACAACCCCCUCCAUGGUCCAGUUGCGGCAGCCUGUUCAUAACCAGUUCGGUGGUCGCCUUGCUGCUCUGUGCGCUAUUGGCUGCUGCCUUUGCUAUUUGGUCCAUAAGUUAAUGAUAUGGUCAUCCAGUUUUGAUGUAAAGAAGAUUGGUGGCAUUUUGUGUUGUCCACUACUAGCAGGGUUGCUUAGUCGAUCGUCUUUGGGGUCAGCUAGAGCAGUUUUUGUGGUCAUGGCAUGCUAUCAGUCUUAAGUCUAUAUACAAUCUUUUUUUGAUCAAUUACGGUAGGGAAAAUCCCUACCGUUUGUCAUUUUCUUAUUUAUAAUUAGAGGUCAGAUAUGUACAUGGUUUAAGAGGCUGUUUUUCUUUUUACAGAAUUUUGUUUUGCUGUUUUUCUAUCUAUAUCACUCAUUUUGUUGACAUGUUUAUUCAGAUGUGCCUAAUGUUUCUUUGUUUUCCUGGUUUCUCAAAACUAACAAAUGUUGUUCUCUGACAAAUUAGGAGGCUGAAGGUGGUAGCUUGCUGAACUCUCGUUUUGGAAAAAAAAUUGUAGAUGUGGAGUGCUCGUAAAGGAAUGCACGUACGUACGAAUAUGAUGUUUGCUUCCAUUCCCAACUUAUGAAAUGCAUCUUGCGAUACUCACGUGCUCGUGCAGCUGCUGGCUGGAUUUGUCACCCCCGCCUCUCCCUCGCACUCGCGCCCCCUUCCCCCGUUCUCCCGCGACGGCAUGGAUGCGCGGUGUAGGAGGCGGUUCCUCGCCGGUUGGACGGCGUUCAGGCGCAACCCCGACGCCCCCUGAGUUGAUGCCCUGGUCGUAUAGCUAUGCUAAAUUGAUAUGUUGUACUUGUGCUAGGGCGAUGAUGAUUAACCUUGGCUGAAAUAAGUGUGCCUUUGAGCAAUCGAGGCACCUGUGGGUAUCAAGUUGGAUCCUCCCUCUUGUCUCUAGAAUCGUUUUUGAUCCUGUGAUACUUGUUGUUCUGCCCUUGGAUGGUAUCAUUCUUGUAGAGUGAUAACCAGGGUAGCUCCACUGUAUAAACAGAUUGAUCUGGCGAUAAGAGAUGAUGGGGGUAGAUUAUAUGAUCGAGGAAAGACGAAUCUGAGCCCACUAUGCAAUGAACCUUGAACCCUUUUUAUUUGUAUUUAAAGGUGUUGCUUAUUUAUGCUUCAGUUAUUUAUAGCCGUCUUAUGUGGACAUUUCUUCUCUCUCAUACCUUUAUUGCAUAUAAGUUGUUCCUGAUGUUUUAUUGUUUGUUGUUGGUCCUUGAUUUAAUCUGGUUAAGAUAAACUGUGGGAAAUAGUUCUGGAUUUGUUGUGUGGUAGUUUGCAAGUGAAUUUGUGACUAUUUUGGAUUUAGAGUUGAACCCUCUUUUCUGCUGGUUUCCAUGACUCUCAGGUACCAACCUUCACUUUAUACCCACCUAUCAUCUGUUCUGCUGGUUUCCAUGUAUUGAUACUGUUACUUUGCUACAUGGUUCUCUGCUUUUAGUUGUGCAAUCUGAAAUAUGGUUCUUGGACUGUUUCAUGUAAGGCACGGGAUUUGCUAUAAGUCCGCAGACGGCAAGAGCAUGCUUAUGCUUGCUCUGUUACAAGACGAAAAGUUUAGAUUUCAUGGUUCAUAAUAUAAAAUGGCAUGUAUAGCUCUGUAUCCUUAAAUUCCCUGCAUUAUUCUCAUGGCCGUUGAAUAUUUCAUUUAACCACACAUAAAUGGUUAGGAACCAAAUAAAUUUAAUUUAUCUUCAAUACCCUCUCCAAAAUAUUUCUAUUGUCUGUAUUAGGAAGGAUCUAUAAGAGUUGCUGCUAUAUAUAUGUUGUGAUUCUUGUGAAUCCGCCCAUGUAGUUAAUAUGUGGUUCUUCAUUUUUUUUUCUUAGUUCAAGCCCCUGAGAUAAUGCUUUUAAAUUAUUAACUGACUAUAGUUCAAGAUUUAGUGAACAUGUCAACAUACAUGGUGAUCUUUACAACUUAUCUAUUUUUUCUGUGGGGCUUCUUCAAAUAUAAUAAAUUAGGAAUAAAUAAUGUGCAGUAAUCAUGUUUCUUUUCUUAUCACUAUACUUCAGUAAUGGUAUCUACACAAUGUAUACAUACUGCUAUCAUAGUGCAGUGUGAAUGAAGUGUGCUGCUUCUACUUGCAUAAAAGCAGAUAUUGACAUGCUCCUUAGCCAUGUGAUCUUCAAGGGCCUUUGGCUAUGUGUAUCACUUCACAGAUUAAGGAUGUAGCUACAAUCAUUAUUAGUCUUUUUGGUUAUCUUCCUUUAAAAAAAAAGCAGCUUAGAGACCUACUGGCUGCUCUGGAUCAAGAUUAUAAGCAGAUUUCGUAUAUUUGGACAACAGACAGAGAUUUUGUUUCAUAUAUGCAUAUGCCUUUAUUGUAUAAUUCAGUUCUGCCACCACAUUUUUACCACCUACAUGAAUUUCCCCUAUACCAGAUAUUAACGUUUGAAAUUAGUGACAUCUACUCAAAUAAAUAUCCACAGGUUGUGGCAUAGACAUGUUCACAUCAGCAAUCUUUUCUUUGAGAUAUCUGGCGGCCUUUCGUGUAAGUUCAAUGUAUCCAUUUAUCAUUCCAUUGCUUUCUUGAUUCAACAAUAACAAUAAAGGACUGCUAAAUUGUACUUUGUAGAGAAAGGGAUGACGUACACCUAGGUUAUGUAGGCUUAAGAGUAUCGAUAGUCUAACCGCACAUCAUUUUUUGUACACUCAGUAAUCUUUAAUGGUUUAUUAACACUAGCUAACCCGAAGUAUAUGUUUGUUAUUUGUGCCUUUUUCCUAACUUAUCCAUAGAAUAAUGAUCUUUAUUUUUAUCUGUUUUGUAGAACCAUCGAAUUCAAGUUAUCUUUGAGUACACGACAACUUCUGAAGUUCGUGCCAUCAUGCUUUAGUUUCCCACAUUGGCUGAGAUUAUGCAAACAAAAAGACGGUCUCAGGCACAAGAGCAUGAUGUGCUUGCGCCAGUUGCUUUCACACCAAGGCCACGCGGUUGAUCAUCUAAGCGCACCUAUGAAGUUGACCGACAAAGCAGUUGGACAGAGCUACUAAUUAAUUAGUAUGCCUAAUAGCUAUGGCUUUGUAGUUUGACCACCUCUACCGUCAGUAUGCCUGGCUUUUGCUUUCUUAUUAUGUUCCUGCUAUUAGUACUUCCUCUCUCGUGUUCGUGCUCUUAGUAUUGAACUUAAUGUCGUAGUUAUUAGCUUUUGUGGUCUAAUGAACUAACUGAGUGUUUAUAAUUUCAUGACGAUGUUGAGCUUGA
Molecule: long non-coding RNA, 4310 nt
Organism: Triticum aestivum (bread wheat)
Lineage: Eukaryota; Viridiplantae; Streptophyta; Magnoliopsida; Poales; Poaceae
Exons: 6
Source: RefSeq, a predicted model, not a curated record